Molecule: transfer RNA, 67 nt
Filed under: Anaka burmensis
Lineage: Eukaryota; Metazoa; Arthropoda; Insecta; Hemiptera; Cicadellidae
Description: tRNA-Asn
Source: RNAcentral
UUAAGUUAAACCAAAACUUAGGUUUCUUAUUGUUAAUAAGAAUUUUGAAUAAAAUAUUCCAAUUAAA